UACGGAAGGUCCGGGCGUUAUCCGGAUUUAUUGGGUUUAAAGGGAGCGUAGGCCGUCUGGUAAGCGUGUUGUGAAAUGUCGGGGCUCAACCUGGGCAUUGCAGCGCGAACUGUCAGACUUGAGUGCGUGGGAAGUAGGCGGAAUUCGUCGUGUAGCGGUGAAAUGCUUAGAUAUGACGAAGAACUCCGAUUGCGAAGGCAGCCUGCUGUAGCGCAACUGACGCUGAAGCUCGAAAGCGUGGGUAUCGAACAGG
This 253-nucleotide ribosomal RNA is filed under the name Leyella stercorea DSM 18206. RNAcentral's name for it is "Prevotella stercorea DSM 18206 partial 16S ribosomal RNA". It matches the Rfam family "Bacterial small subunit ribosomal RNA", at positions 524 to 776 of the family's 1533-position model. Lineage: Bacteria; Pseudomonadati; Bacteroidota; Bacteroidia; Bacteroidales; Prevotellaceae. The record is from RNAcentral.